This 497-nucleotide ribosomal RNA is filed under the name uncultured bacterium. RNAcentral describes it as "partial 16S ribosomal RNA". It matches the Rfam family "Bacterial small subunit ribosomal RNA", at positions 28 to 507 of the family's 1533-position model. The record is from RNAcentral.
GAUGAACGCUGGCGGCGUGCCUAAUACAUGCAAGUAGAACGCUGAAGCUUGGUGCUUGCACCGAGCGGAUGAGUUGCGAACGGGUGAGUAACGCGUAGGUAACCUGCCUGGUAGCGGGGGAUAACUAUUGUAAACGAUAGCUAAUACCGCAUGACAACAGUUAUUGCAUGAUAACUGUUUAAAAGGGGCAAUUGCUCCACUACCAGAUGGACCUGCGUUGUAUUAGCUAGUUGGUGAGGUAACGGCUCACCAAGGCGACGAUACAUAGCCGACCUGAGAGGGUGAUCGGCCACACUGGGACUGAGACACGGCCCAGACUCCUACGGGAGGCAGCAGUAGGGAAUCUUCGGCAAUGGACGGAAGUCUGACCGAGCAACGCCGCGUGAGUGAAGAAGGUUUUCGGAUCGUAAAGCUCUGUUGUAAGAGAAGAACGAGUGUGAGAGUGGAAAGUUCACACUGUGACGGUAUCUUACCAGAAAGGGACGGCUAACUACGUG